This 26-nucleotide small RNA is filed under the name Bombyx mori (domestic silkworm). RNAcentral's name for it is "ovarian small RNA-9818". Lineage: Eukaryota; Metazoa; Arthropoda; Insecta; Lepidoptera; Bombycidae. The record is from RNAcentral.
UUUUCUAACAGCCGCCUGCCCACUGC